Molecule: ribosomal RNA, 480 nt
Filed under: Citrobacter sp.
Lineage: Bacteria; Pseudomonadati; Pseudomonadota; Gammaproteobacteria; Enterobacterales; Enterobacteriaceae
Description: bacterial SSU rRNA
Rfam family: Bacterial small subunit ribosomal RNA
Source: RNAcentral
AUGCAGUCGUAAGAAUAGUAGCGAGGAGCUUGCUCCUUGGGUGACGAGUGGCGGACGGGUGAGUAAUGUCUGGGAAACUGCCCGAUGGAGGGGGAUAACUACUGGAAACGGUAGCUAAUACCGCAUAACGUCGCAAGACCAAAGAGGGGGACCUUCGGGCCUCUUGCCAUCGGAUGUGCCCAGAUGGGAUUAGCUAGUAGGUGGGGUAACGGCUCACCUAGGCGACGAUCCCUAGCUGGUCUGAGAGGAUGACCAGCCACACUGGAACUGAGACACGGUCCAGACUCCUACGGGAGGCAGCAGUGGGGAAUAUUGCACAAUGGGCGCAAGCCUGAUGCAGCCAUGCCGCGUGUAUGAAGAAGGCCUUCGGGUUGUAAAGUACUUUCAGCGAGGAGGAAGGUGUUGUGGUUAAUAACCGCAGCAAUUGACGUUACUCGCAGAAGAAGCACCGGCUAACUCCGUGCCAGCAGCCGCGGUAAU